This 521-nucleotide long non-coding RNA is filed under the name Mytilus galloprovincialis (Mediterranean mussel). The record is from RNAcentral. Lineage: Eukaryota; Metazoa; Mollusca; Bivalvia; Mytilida; Mytilidae.
CGACUGUCAUACAAGUGGGUGGUUUACCGCUAUAAAACUAGGUUAAAUCCAACAUUUUAAUAAAACACCUGUACCAAGUCAGGAGUAUAACACUUCGUGUUCAUUCGUUUGAUGUGUUUGAGCGUUUGCUUUUGACAUUUAGUAAAUGACUUUCCGUUUUCAAUUUUCCCCCCGUGUUCAGGUUUUUUUUUGAGAUUUUACUUUAUACAAUAGCAAUUUUUAUGGCCUUUUAUAGCUUGCUGUUCUGUGUGAGUCAAGACUCCGCGUUGAAGACCGUACUUUGAUCUUGAAUGGUUUGUAAAAAUGAUUGCAAAAAAUGGACCUUCGAUGGAGAGUUGUCACGUCGGCACUCAUACUACAUCUUCUUAUAUUUAUGUAUUAGAUACAUUGAACAGAAUAUCAUAACACUUAGAAAUUUUCUGAAUUAGAUUUAUUAAAUAGUAUUGAAAAAAAUAAAAAAUCACAAAAAAAACUGAACUCCGGGGAAAAUUCAAAAAGGAAAGUCCGUAAUCAAAUAGCGA